UACGGAGGGGGCAAGCGUUGUUCGGAAUUACUGGGCGUAAAGGGCGCGUAGGCGGCUCGGCAAGUCAGGUGUGAAAGCCCCGAGCUUAACUCGGGAAUUGCAUCUGAAACUGGUGUGCUUGAGUUCUGGAGGGGGUAGUGGAAUUCCCAGUGUAGCGGUGAAAUGCGUAGAUAUUGGGAGGAACACCGGCGGCGAAGGCGGCUACCUGGACAGAAACUGACGCUGAGGCGCGAAAGCUAGGGGAGCGAACGGG
RNAcentral lists this ribosomal RNA (253 nucleotides) under uncultured bacterium. RNAcentral describes it as "partial 16S ribosomal RNA". It matches the Rfam family "Bacterial small subunit ribosomal RNA", at positions 524 to 776 of the family's 1533-position model. The record is from RNAcentral.